Molecule: unclassified non-coding RNA, 312 nt
Filed under: plant metagenome
Description: partial contains 5.8S ribosomal RNA, internal transcribed spacer 2, and large subunit ribosomal RNA
Rfam family: 5.8S ribosomal RNA (bases 1-105)
Source: RNAcentral
GAAAUGCGAUAAGUAAUGUGAAUUGCAGAAUUCCGUGAAUCAUCGAAUCUUUGAACCCACAUUGCGCCCUCUGGCAUUCCGGGGGGCAUGCCUGUCCGAGCGUCAUUACGCACCCUCAAGCCCGGCUUGUGUGAUGGGCCCCGGCGUCUCGUUCGCGAGACGGGCCCGAAAGGCAGCGGCGGCGUCGACCCGAUGAGCCCGAGCGUAUGGGGACUUCUGUCACACGUUCGCGGUGCGGACCGGCGCCUGCUUGACUUUUCUGAUUAUCCAGGUUGACCUCGGAUCAGGUAGGGAUACCCGCUGAACUUAAGC